This 201-nucleotide ribosomal RNA is filed under the name uncultured bacterium. RNAcentral's name for it is "partial 16S ribosomal RNA". It matches the Rfam family "Bacterial small subunit ribosomal RNA", at positions 524 to 724 of the family's 1533-position model. The record is from RNAcentral.
UACGUAGGGUGCAAGCGUUGAUCGGAAUUACUGGGCGUAAAGCGUGCGCAGGCGGUUUUGUAAGUCUGAUGUGAAAUCCCCGGGCUCAACCUGGGACUUGCAUUGGAGACUGCAAGGCUAGAAUCUGGCAGAGGGGGGUAGAAUUCCACGUGUAGCAGUGAAAUGCGUAGAGAUGUGGAGGAACACCGAUGGCGAAGGCAG